This 465-nucleotide ribosomal RNA is filed under the name Vreelandella stevensii. RNAcentral describes it as "partial 16S ribosomal RNA". It matches the Rfam family "Bacterial small subunit ribosomal RNA", at positions 338 to 795 of the family's 1533-position model. The record is from RNAcentral. Lineage: Bacteria; Pseudomonadati; Pseudomonadota; Gammaproteobacteria; Oceanospirillales; Halomonadaceae.
CCUACGGGGUGCUGCAGUGGGGAAUAUUGGACAAUGGGCGAAAGCCUGAUCCAGCCAUGCCGCGUGUGUGAAGAAGGCCUUCGGGUUGUAAAGCACUUUCAGUGGGGAAGAAAGCCUUGGGGCUAAUACCCUCGAGGAAGGACAUCACCCACAGAAGAAGCAUCGGCUAACUCCGUGCCAGCAGCCGCGGUAAUACGGAGGGUGCGAGCGUUAAUCGGAAUUACUGGGCGUAAAGCGCGCGUAGGCGGUCUGAUAAGCCGGUUGUGAAAGCCCCGGGCUCAACCUGGGAACGGCAUCCGGAACUGUCAGGCUAGAGUGCAGGAGAGGAAGGUAGAAUUCCCGGUGUAGCGGUGAAAUGCGUAGAGAUCGGGAGGAAUACCAGUGGCGAAGGCGGCCUUCUGGACUGACACUGACGCUGAGGUGCGAAAGCGUGGGUAGCAAACAGGAUUAGAUACCCGGGUAGUC